AGAGUUUGAUCCUGGCUCAGAACGAACGCUGGCGGCAGGCUUAACACAUGCAAGUCGAGCGCCCCGCAAGGGGAGCGGCAGACGGGUGAGUAACGCGUGGGAAUCUACCCAGCUCUACGGAAUAACCCAGGGAAACUUGGACUAAUACCGUAUACGUCCUUCGGGAGAAAGAUUUAUCGGAGUUGGAUGAGCCCGCGCUGGAUUAGCUAGUUGGUGGGGUAAUGGCCUACCAAGGCGACGAUCCAUAGCUGGUCUGAGAGGAUGAUCAGCCACACUGGGACUGAGACACGGCCCAGACUCCUACGGGAGGCAGCAGUGGGGAAUAUUGGACAAUGGGCGAAAGCCUGAUCCAGCCAUGUCGCGUGAGUGAUGAAGGCCCUAGGGUUGUAAAGCUCUUUCACCGGUGAAGAUAAUGACGGUAACCGGAGAAGAAGCCCCGGCUAACUUCGUGCCAGCCGCCGCGGUAAUU
This 469-nucleotide ribosomal RNA is filed under the name uncultured bacterium. RNAcentral describes it as "bacterial SSU rRNA". It matches the Rfam family "Bacterial small subunit ribosomal RNA", at positions 8 to 525 of the family's 1533-position model. The record is from RNAcentral.